AACGAACGCUGGCGGCGUGCCUAACACAUGCAAGUCGAACGAGGACUUCGGGUCUAGUGGCGCACGGGCACGUACCGCGUGGGAACCUGCCCUUAGGAUCGGAAUAACUCCCCGCCAGGGGUGCUAAUACAGGAUAAUGUAUCCGGACCAAAGAUUUAUCGCCUUUGGGUGGGCCCGCGUUGGAUUAGCUAGUUGGUAGGGUAAAAGCCUACAAAGGGGACGAUCCAUAGCUGGUCUGUGGGGACGGUCAGCCACACUGGGACUGACACACGGCCCAGACUCCUACGGGAGGCAGCAGGUGUGAAUAUGGGACAACGCGCGAAAGCCUGAUCCAGCAAUGCCGCGUGGGUGAGUAAGGCCUUAGGGUUGUAAAUCUCUUUGACCCGGGAUGAUAAUGACAGUACCGUGAGAAUAAGCGCCGGCUAACUCCGUG
RNAcentral lists this ribosomal RNA (433 nucleotides) under uncultured bacterium. RNAcentral describes it as "partial 16S ribosomal RNA". It matches the Rfam family "Bacterial small subunit ribosomal RNA", at positions 29 to 507 of the family's 1533-position model. The record is from RNAcentral.